GUGAGGAGGGAGGUUUAGGUGACAACAUCCCCGUGCAGCAUUUCGUCGAUCAGAGCCCGCACAAUGGCCACGUGGGACAAGCGUAGGUGUAAACAUGGGCACUGCUAAUGUUGAGGAUGUGCGGGGAAGACACAGGUUGGAAAGUAGGCAAAACCUACCAUAAUUUAGUGAAAUGAAAAAAAAUAGAUGUGGUAAUUUGUGCCAUAAUACUUAAAUAAGAUAAGUUUGUAGAAAUUCAGUUAAAUGAGAUAGAUA
RNAcentral lists this long non-coding RNA (255 nucleotides) under Brachypodium distachyon (stiff brome). RNAcentral's name for it is "long non-coding RNA (BDIS_LNC005206)". Lineage: Eukaryota; Viridiplantae; Streptophyta; Magnoliopsida; Poales; Poaceae. The record is from RNAcentral.